RNAcentral lists this ribosomal RNA (253 nucleotides) under Mucibacter sp. RNAcentral describes it as "partial 16S ribosomal RNA". It matches the Rfam family "Bacterial small subunit ribosomal RNA", at positions 524 to 776 of the family's 1533-position model. RNAcentral also lists the same sequence under 1 other name. The record is from RNAcentral. Lineage: Bacteria; Pseudomonadati; Bacteroidota; Chitinophagia; Chitinophagales; Chitinophagaceae.
UACGGAGGGUGCAAGCGUUAUCCGGAUUCACUGGGUUUAAAGGGUGUGUAGGCGGAUAUUUAAGUCAGUGGUGAAAUCUCUGGGCUCAACUCAGAAACUGCCAUUGAUACUAUUUAUCUUGAAUAUCGUUGAGGUUGGCGGAAUAUAUCAUGUAGCGGUGAAAUGCAUAGAUAUGAUAUAGAACACCGAUUGCGAAGGCAGCUAACUAAACGAUUAUUGACGCUGAGGCACGAAAGCGUGGGGAUCAAACAGG